GGCGAACGGGUGAGUAACACGUGAGCAACCUACCCUCAACUUCGGGAUAAGCCUCGGAAACGGGGUCUAAUACCGGAUAUCACUCCUUGUCUCAUGGCUUGGGGUUGAAAGUUCUGGCGGUUGGGGAUGGGCUCGCGGCCUAUCAGCUUGUUGGUGGGGUAAUGGCCUACCAAGGCGUCGACGGGUAGCCGGCCUGAGAGGGCGACCGGCCACACUGGGACUGAGACACGGCCCAGACUCCUACGGGAGGCAGCAGUGGGGAAUAUUGCGCAAUGGACGAAAGUCUGACGCAGCAACGCCGCGUGAGGGAUGACGGCCUUCGGGUUGUAAACCUCUUUCAGCAGGGACGAAGCGAGAGUGACGGUACCUGCAGAAGAAGGACCGGCCAACUACGUGCNNNCAGCCGCGGUAAUACGUAGGGUCCGAGCGUUGUCCGGAAUUAUUGGGCGUAAAGGGCUCGUAGGCGGUUCGUCACGUCGGGAGUGAAAACUCGGAGCUCAACUCCGAGCCUGCUUCCGAUAC
This 522-nucleotide ribosomal RNA is filed under the name uncultured bacterium. RNAcentral describes it as "bacterial SSU rRNA". It matches the Rfam family "Bacterial small subunit ribosomal RNA", at positions 97 to 633 of the family's 1533-position model. The record is from RNAcentral.